GGUUCACCGUGAGGGCGUCGUCGGCGGAGGCCGAAGCCGCCGGCCGCCGCGCGGUCCUUGGCCUCAUGGCCAGCGGAGUCGUCGGCAGCGCGUUCGCUCAGGUGGUGCACGCCGGCACCGUCGCGGCCAUCAAGGUUGGCCCGCCGCCUCCGCUCUCCGGUGGACUCCGUGAGUGCCUCCAGCUGCUCGUUCUAUACUCGCUUUAUAGUAGACAGAAGACUAUAUAAUGAUGAUUUUACGCCUGAUCUGAUGGAUGAUUUGGGUGUGUGUGUGUCAGCCGGCACGGACAACUCGGACGAGGCAAGGGACUUCGACCUGCCCCUGAAGAACCGGUUCUACCUGCAGCCGCUGCCACCGGCGCAGGCGGCGGUCCGGGCCAAGGAGUCGGCCCAGGACAUCCUCAACCUCAAGCCGCUCAUCGACAAGAAGCAAUGGCCGUACGUCAUGAACGACCUCCGCCUCAGGGCCUCCUACCUGCGCUACGACCUCAAGACCGUCAUCUCCUCCAAGACCACCAAGGAGGAGAAGAAGGACCUCAAGGACCUCACCGGCAAGCUCUUCGCCACCCUCGACGGGGUAACAAACCAUCAUCUCGCAGUUUCAAACCUGAACAUUUUCGCAAGAAGAAUUGCAGGACUAACAGGUGUGAGCUUCUCCGUUUUUUCUUUCUUGC
This 673-nucleotide long non-coding RNA is filed under the name Hordeum vulgare. RNAcentral's name for it is "long non-coding RNA (HVUL_LNC020836)". The record is from RNAcentral. Lineage: Eukaryota; Viridiplantae; Streptophyta; Magnoliopsida; Poales; Poaceae.